CUUUUACAAUGAAGAGUUUGAUCCUGGCUCAGGAUGAACGCUAGCUACAGGCUUAACACAUGCAAGUCGAGGGGCAUCAGGAAGAAAGCUUGCUUUCUUUGCUGGCGACCGGCGCACGGGUGAGUAACACGUAUCCAACCUGCCCUUUACUCGGGGAUAGCCUUUCGAAAGAAAGAUUAAUACCCGAUAGCAUAAUGAUUCCGCAUGGUUUCAUUAUUAAAGGAUUCCGGUAAAGGAUGGGGAUGCGUUCCAUUAGGUUGUUGGUGAGGUAACGGCCCACCAAGCCUUCGAUGGAUAGGGGUUCUGAGAGGAAGGUCCCCCACAUUGGAACUGAGACACGGUCCAAACUCCUACGGGAGGCAGCAGUGAGGAAUAUUGGUCAAUGGGCGCUAGCCUGAACCAGCCAAGUAGCGUGAAGGAUGAAGGCUCUAUGGGUCGUAAACUUCUUUUAUAUAAGAAUAAAGUGCAGUAUGUAUACUGUUUUGUAUGUAUUAUAUGAAUAAGGAUCGGCUAACUCCGUGCCAGCAGCCGCGGUAAUACGGAGGAUCCGAGCGUUAUCCGGAUUUAUUGGGUUUAAAGGGAGCGUAGGUGGACUGGUAAGUCAGUUGUGAAAGUUUGCGGCUCAACCGUAAAAUUGCAGUUGAUACUGUCAGUCUUGAGUACAGUAGAGGUGGGCGGAAUUCGUGGUGUAGCGGUGAAAUGCUUAGAUAUCACGAAGAACUCCGAUUGCGAAGGCAGCUCACUGGACUGCAACUGACACUGAUGCUCGAAAGUGUGGGUAUCAAACAGGAUUAGAUACCCUGGUAGUCCACACAGUAAACGAUGAAUACUCGCUGUUUGCGAUAUACAGUAAGCGGCCAAGCGAAAGCAUUAAGUAUUCCACCUGGGGAGUACGCCGGCAACGGUGAAACUCAAAGGAAUUGACGGGGGCCCGCACAAGCGGAGGAACAUGUGGUUUAAUUCGAUGAUACGCGAGGAACCUUACCCGGGCUUAAAUUGCAGUGGAAUGAUGUGGAAACAUGUCAGUGAGCAAUCACCGCUGUGAAGGUGCUGCAUGGUUGUCGUCAGCUCGUGCCGUGAGGUGUCGGCUUAAGUGCCAUAACGAGCGCAACCCUUAUCUUUAGUUACUAACAGGUUAUGCUGAGGACUCUAGAGAGACUGCCGUCGUAAGAUGUGAGGAAGGUGGGGAUGACGUCAAAUCAGCACGGCCCUUACGUCCGGGGCUACACACGUGUUACAAUGGGGGGUACAGAAGGCAGCUAGCGGGUGACCGUAUGCUAAUCCCAAAAGCCUCUCUCAGUUCGGAUCGAAGUCUGCAACCCGACUUCGUGAAGCUGGAUUCGCUAGUAAUCGCGCAUCAGCCACGGCGCGGUGAAUACGUUCCCGGGCCUUGUACACACCGCCCGUCAAGCCAUGGGAGCCGGGGGUACCUGAAGUACGUAACCGCAAGGAUCGUCCUAGGGUAAAACUGGUGACUGGGGCUAAGUCGUAACAAGGUAGCCGUACCGGAAGGUGCGGCUGGAACACCUCCUUUCU
Molecule: ribosomal RNA, 1536 nt
Filed under: Bacteroides fragilis
Lineage: Bacteria; Pseudomonadati; Bacteroidota; Bacteroidia; Bacteroidales; Bacteroidaceae
Description: bacterial SSU rRNA
Rfam family: Bacterial small subunit ribosomal RNA
Source: RNAcentral